This 50-nucleotide non-coding RNA is filed under the name Rhizobium sp. Its description in RNAcentral is "Guanidine-II sequence". It matches the Rfam family "Guanidine-II riboswitch aptamer (mini-ykkC)". From Rfam's summary of the family: Simpler in structure and has fewer highly conserved nucleotide positions than the ykkC-yxkD leader. Despite this each of its two stem-loop structures directly bind free guanidine. The record is from RNAcentral. Lineage: Bacteria; Pseudomonadati; Pseudomonadota; Alphaproteobacteria; Hyphomicrobiales; Rhizobiaceae.
CGACCGGGACGGCCCGGCCGCUUCGCUGGGGCAUGGCCGGGACGACCUGG